This 38-nucleotide transfer RNA is filed under the name Nomonyx dominicus (Masked duck). RNAcentral describes it as "Nomonyx dominica partial tRNA-Phe". Lineage: Eukaryota; Metazoa; Chordata; Aves; Anseriformes; Anatidae. The record is from RNAcentral.
CGUCCACAUAGCUUAACACCAAAGCAUGGCACUGAAGC